ACAGCCCUUCUCCCCAGGUCUCUCACCUUUUUUUCCAAGGUUACCACCUCCCACCCUCCCCUCCAGGUACAGCAACUCACUGCUGACCCCACAAUUCUCUCCCACUGAAGCCAGAUAAUGCAGCCCAGUUUGACUAGGAUUCCAGGGCUGGCAACAGAGCCCUUCUUCAGUUGAUAAGGAACCCCCAUGUAGACCAAGUUACUCAUCUGUUACAUAUGUGGAGACAGGGAUGGGGAUGGGUGAAACUAGGUCCAGCCUAUGCUCCUUUGGUUGGUGGUUCAGCCUUAGGAACCUGCAAGGGUCCACUUUAGCUGACUCUGUUGGUCUUCUGUGGAGUCCCUAUUCUCGCUGGACCCCUCAUUCCUUCUUGCAAAUCUUUCACAAGUCUUGACUACUCAACCUACAUUGAAUGUUUGGCUGUGGUCUCUGCAUCUAUUUCAGUCAGCUGCUGGGUGUAGCCUCUCACUGUACGGUUAUGCUCUGUUCCUCAGACAUCUUGCUUGACCAGAACCAUUUGCGGAAGAUGCUGAUUAUUUUUCCCACUGUGUAUUUUAUCUUUGGCUUCUUUAUGAAAAAGAAGGAGGAAAAGGAAGAGGAGAGAAGGAGGAGAAGCAGGAGGAGAAGAAAAAGGAGAAGGAAAAGGAAAAGAAAGCAAAAAACAAACAAAACAAACAAACAAAGUGGAAGAAUGAAUGAAGAGACAAGAAAGUUUGGCCCAUUUACACGAUGGAGUAUUACUUAGCUUUUGAAAAAAUGAUAUGAAA
Molecule: non-coding RNA, 764 nt
Organism: Rattus norvegicus (Norway rat)
Lineage: Eukaryota; Metazoa; Chordata; Mammalia; Rodentia; Muridae
Source: RefSeq, a predicted model, not a curated record